AUUGAACGCUGGCGGCAGGCCUAACACAUGCAAGUCGAACGAGUGGCGGACGGGUGAGUAAUGUCUGGGAAACUGCCCGAUGGAGGGGGAAAACUACUGUAAACGGUAGCUAAUAUCGCAUACCAUCGGAUGUGCCCAGAUGGGAUUAGCUAGUAGGUGGGGUAACGGCUCACCUAGGCGACGAUCCCUAGCUGGUCUGAGAGGUGGACCAGCCACACGUGAAUUGAGACACGGUCCAGACGCCUACGGAAGGCAGCAGUGGGGACUAUUGCACAAUGGGCGCAAGCUGAAUGGAGCCAUGCGGCGUGUGUGAAGAAGGCCUUCGGGUUGAAAAGUACUUUCAGCGAGGAGACGUUACUCGAGAAAGAAGCGCCGGCUAACUACGUGCCAGCCGCCGCGGUAAUUC
RNAcentral lists this ribosomal RNA (406 nucleotides) under uncultured bacterium. RNAcentral's name for it is "partial 16S ribosomal RNA". It matches the Rfam family "Bacterial small subunit ribosomal RNA", at positions 30 to 526 of the family's 1533-position model. The record is from RNAcentral.